Molecule: ribosomal RNA, 450 nt
Filed under: uncultured Glomeromycotina
Lineage: Eukaryota; Fungi; Glomeromycota
Description: SSU rRNA
Rfam family: Eukaryotic small subunit ribosomal RNA
Source: RNAcentral
AGCAGCCGCGGUAAUUCCAGCUCCAAUAGCGUAUAUUAAAGUUGUUGCAGUUAAAAAAGCUCGUAGUUGAAUUUCGGGAUCAAUAUGUCUGUCGUGCCUUUGGUACGUACGGGUAUAAUUGGUUUCUACCUUCUGAUGAACCUUGAUGCCAUUAAUUUGGUGUCUUGGGGACUCAGGACUGUUACCUUGAAAAAAAUUAGAGUGUUUAAAGCAGGCAUACGCUUGAAUACAUUAGCAUGGAAUAAUGAAAUAGGACGUUCGAUUCUAUUUUGUUGGUUUCUAGGAUCGACGUAAUGAUUAAUAGGGAUAGUUGGGGGCAUUAGUAUUCAAUUGUCAGAGGUGAAAUUCUUGGAUUUAUUGAAGACUAACUACUGCGAAAGCAUUUGCCAAGGAUGUUUUCUAUUAAUCAAGAACGAAAGUUAAGGGGAUCGAAGACGAUCAGAUACCGUC